CCUGGGUUCCAUCCUUGGGCUCAGAAGAUCCCCUGGAGGAGGGCAUGGCAACCCACUUCAGUAUUCUUGACUGGAGAAUCCCAUGGAUAGAAGAGCCUGAUGCUAUGGUCCAUAGUAUCGCAAACAGGCAGACAGGACUGAAUCGACUUGGUACGCGUGCACACAUGGGCUUUUUAAAAGAGGGCCUAACAGUUCCUGGCACAUACUAAGUACUAAAACAAUUAUUUGUUGAAGGCAUGAAGUUUCACUGGGAAGGAGAAAUACAAGGUUCCAGUCUUCUCGGGGCUGAUACUUCCUGUCCCCGUAGCAUUCCAACAGUGUUGAGUAAGAUGGCUUCUACGUUUUGUCACAACUGAGAUAUAUCAUUUUCCCUUUUAUUUUAGUUUGUGAUUGCAUUCAUUCAAAUAAACAGUUGUCUCCAGUAA
Molecule: long non-coding RNA, 425 nt
Organism: Bubalus bubalis (water buffalo)
Lineage: Eukaryota; Metazoa; Chordata; Mammalia; Artiodactyla; Bovidae
Exons: 3
Source: RefSeq, a predicted model, not a curated record